GGAAGCUAAGCAAUAUAACCCUGUGGCAACACUUCUAAAAGUGACUCUGAGAAGACAGAAAGAUCCUCUGUGAGAGGCUGGUGUCCCCAGAAAUUGGCGAGGCCUGCUGAGGAUCAUUUGGGUAAAUGUCAUGGUCACGCGGCCCCAUUCUCUUCGCUGAGCUCCAGAUUUCCGUAGCCAAUUGUCUGCUGGACAUUCCUCCCUGAGACGUCUCACAGGAUUUUUAUGUGUAUGGUCAUUUCAAGUAAAUUUUGUAUACAGAGCAAGGCGAUUACUUUAAAACAUGAAAGAAAUUGCAUCUUUUCCUUAAGGGCAAGACGGUGCUGUGGCUUUCCUCUCUCCUGAUGAGAUGAUGUAAAUGGACUCCAUAGAGAAACGCUGCCUUGUAACAAUGCAGUUACGCAACCGGGUGCAUGAUACGUGAAUUACAGCGCAUCUGAGAUCCUGAUGAAAUCCUGGGAGCCUGCUGUCAAACAUGGUUUUAAAAAAUAAAGGGAAUACACCCAGCCCACA
Molecule: long non-coding RNA, 513 nt
Organism: Nomascus leucogenys (northern white-cheeked gibbon)
Lineage: Eukaryota; Metazoa; Chordata; Mammalia; Primates; Hylobatidae
Exons: 3
Source: RefSeq, a predicted model, not a curated record